RNAcentral lists this ribosomal RNA (573 nucleotides) under Diaporthe phaseolorum. RNAcentral's name for it is "eukaryotic LSU rRNA". The stretch from base 209 to 362 matches the Rfam family "5.8S ribosomal RNA". Lineage: Eukaryota; Fungi; Ascomycota; Sordariomycetes; Diaporthales; Diaporthaceae. The record is from RNAcentral.
UUUCCGUAGGUGAACCUGCGGAGGGAUCAUUGCUGGAACGCGCUUCGGCGCACCCAGAAACCCUUUGUGAACUUAUACCUAUUUGUUGCCUCGGCGUAGGCCGGCCUUUUGUGACAAAGGCCCCCUGGAAACAGGGAGCAGCCCGCCGGCGGCCAACCAAACUCUUGUUUCUAUAGUGAAUCUCUGAGUAAAAACAUAAAUGAAUCAAAACUUUCAACAACGGAUCUCUUGGUUCUGGCAUCGAUGAAGAACGCAGCGAAAUGCGAUAAGUAAUGUGAAUUGCAGAAUUCAGUGAAUCAUCGAAUCUUUGAACGCACAUUGCGCCCUCUGGUAUUCCGGAGGGCAUGCCUGUUCGAGCGUCAUUUCAACCCUCAAGCCUGGCUUGGUGAUGGGGCACUGCCUUCUAACGAGGGCAGGCCCUGAAAUCUAGUGGCGAGCUCGCUAGGACCCCGAGCGUAGUAGUUAUAUCUCGUUCUGGAAGGCCCUGGCGGUGCCCUGCCGUUAAACCCCCAACUUCUGAAAAUUUGACCUCGGAUCAGGUAGGAAUACCCGCUGAACUUAAGCAUAUCAAUA